GUUUCUCUGGGCGCGCCCUUGGAUCUGCUUCUCUCUCUUGCCUGUUAUAUUCUCUCUCUCUCUCUCUCUGUCUCUCUCUCUCCCCCCUCCCUUCUCUCUCUCUCUCUGCUCUCUCUGGCCAUCUGGGCGCUGCUCCUCCGCGCCUCUGGCCUUCCCGCGGUGCGCCAGGCCCAUCUCCUCACCAGCAGCUCUGGGAUCCGACGGCGCCGCGGGUGGGGGCAGGUGAGACGGCCGAGCCCCGCCCGGGCGGAGGCAGGAAGCGCUCGCGCCAAUCCCCCUCCCGGACCCUGUUCUCGCCCGCAACUCACUGGCGCCAGGGGGACGCAGGAGCAUGAGCCCCUUCGCGCCCCCAGCGCCGUCGGCGUCGCUGCCCCAGACACAGACACUGCCUCGAGAGGCCUCGCAGAGCGGGGGGACAGAGGGCGGCGACCCGGAGCCGCCUUAUCCCUCGCCUUGGGCGCCGUCACAGUCCCCAGAAGCCCUGGGCUCCUGCAGUCUACCAAGACGCGCGGCGGACGGCGUGGUUCCGAGAGAGGGCGCCAAAGGCGACAUGCCGGCGGCCAGCUCCAGGCCGAGUCCCGAGCGCCUGCGGGAACAGGCCUCUUCACCCGGCGCGGGACGCAGAGCUGCGCGAGAAUCUUGUUCAGCGCGGACUCAACGCCAGGGCGCCGCCUAGAGGUCGGUUUCUUUCUCGGCCUCACCCGCUGGGAAACCACAGAGCUGCUUCCCCAGCCGCCCGCCGCCAGAAAUAGGAAAAAAAAAAAAAAAAAAAAAAAAAAAUCCAGCUGGGGUCUAGGAACUCGGCUUCUGGCACCUCUAACUUCUCCGAGACUGUCUCCUCCCUCCCCGCCCCGUAAUGAACCCCGUGAAGGGAGACGGGCCAGGAAGUCCCAGAAAUAUUUAUUCUUGCGACUCUCACAAAAUGGAAGAGGGUCUCAAUUUUUGUUUAAGGAUCUUGUGUUCUGCGUCUGUGUCUACACUGCCUUCUCUCACCAUCCAAAUUGUCCAGCCCCCCCUCCAGUUAUGCUAGAACUCUGCUUUAUCUUCAAGGAAGAAAGGGAGUGGGGAGAAGCUAUCUCUAAACCCUCCAGCAUGGCCAUCAAUUUUCUUAAUAAUUUGGAGAUCAACAUGCUUUUGGAAAAAUGUUUGGAAAACGUUUGGGGGUGA
RNAcentral lists this long non-coding RNA (1167 nucleotides) under Piliocolobus tephrosceles (Ugandan red Colobus). RNAcentral describes it as "lncRNA (ENSPTEG00000032728.1)". Lineage: Eukaryota; Metazoa; Chordata; Mammalia; Primates; Cercopithecidae. The record is from RNAcentral.